RNAcentral lists this ribosomal RNA (432 nucleotides) under Triticum aestivum (bread wheat). RNAcentral describes it as "partial small subunit ribosomal RNA". The record is from RNAcentral. Lineage: Eukaryota; Viridiplantae; Streptophyta; Magnoliopsida; Poales; Poaceae.
AUGGCGGCCGCGCCGACGGGGGUCGCGUGCCCGGUCUACCCGUGGCCGAGCGACGCGGCGCAGCGCGGGGCCAAGGUGUUCAUGCAGAGCGACUGCGCGGCGUGCCACUCCGCGCUCCCCUACGCCGGCCUCCGCGGCGCGGCGGUGCCGGGCCAGGACGCGGUAGCCAGGACGGCAGAGAUCCUCGUUGCCGCCGCGGCCACGGAGGAGGCGCUGCCGGCGACGGGGAUGACGCCGACCCAGUACACGCCGGACCUCGCCACCGUCGCCACAAGAAUCCAGGGCGGGCUGCGGUGCAACCUCUACUCCACUGGGACGGCGACGGCGCCGGCGCCCGUUAGGGCGAUGCUCGCCGGCGGCGCCGCGGCGUGCCAGGAGCUGAAGAAGAGCCCCGUGUGGCUGCAGUUUGCCCAGGCCUUCCAGGCAGUUUGA